This 640-nucleotide ribosomal RNA is filed under the name uncultured bacterium. Its description in RNAcentral is "bacterial SSU rRNA". It matches the Rfam family "Bacterial small subunit ribosomal RNA", at positions 202 to 842 of the family's 1533-position model. The record is from RNAcentral.
UAAAGAUUCAUCGGCUGCGGAUGGCCAUGCGGCGCAUUAGCUAGUCGGCGGGGUAACGGCCCACCGAGGCGACGAUGCGUAGGGGUUCUGAGAGGAAGGUCCCCCACACUGGUACUGAGACACGGACCAGACUCUUACGGGAGGCAGCAGUGAGGAAUAUUGGUCAAUGGCCGGGAGGCUGAACCAGCCAAGUCGCGUGAGGGAAGACGGCCCUACGGGUUGUAAACCUCUUUUGUCAGGGAGCAAGAGGCGGGUCGGGACCUGCUGUGAGAGUACCUGAAGAAAAAGCAUCGGCUAACUCCGUGCCAGCAGCCGCGGUAAUACGGAGGAUGCGAGCGUUAUCCGGAUUUAUUGGGUUUAAAGGGUGCGCAGGCGGAGGCACAAGUCAGCGGUAAAAUCGCGGGGCUCAACCCCGCUCCGCCGUUGAAACUGUGUCCCUUGAGUGCGCGAAGGGUAGGCGGAAUGCGUGGUGUAGCGGUGAAAUGCAUAGAUAUCACGCAGAACUCCGAUCGCGAAGGCAGCCUACCGGCGCGCGACUGACGCUCAUGCACGAAAGCGUGGGUAUCGAACAGGAUUAGAUACCCUGGUAGUCCACGCAGUAAACGAUGAAUGCUAUCUGUCCGGCCGGAAUGACGGCUGG